GUCCUGGGAAAACAUCUAUAGCCUGUGUCAAAGAUGUGAACAGGAUACUUACUGCAGCAUUGUUUGUAAUGAAGAACAAUUAGAAGUUCUAAGUUUCCAUCGUAAAAGAAUAAAUAAAAUGUGAUAUGUCUCUACAGUGGUCUGAUUGACAGCAUUAGAAGGAAUUAAAAUCAAACUGUAGAAUGAUGCUUUACAGUAUGAUGACCUAUGUAUUAGCAAAGACACAUAAAAACAUUCUGGCUAUGACUGCACACAGAUAAACAGAGGAAAGAUACACAGCAGGUCUUUGUUUGUUACCAGAGAUUGAACCCAGCAGUGCUUAACCACUGAGCCACAUCCCCAGCCUGCUUUUAUUUUUAAAGAGGGUCUUACUUUAAACUUGUGAUUCUCCUGC
This 394-nucleotide long non-coding RNA is filed under the name Marmota monax (woodchuck). The record is from RNAcentral. Lineage: Eukaryota; Metazoa; Chordata; Mammalia; Rodentia; Sciuridae.